Molecule: long non-coding RNA, 3037 nt
Filed under: Mus musculus (house mouse)
Lineage: Eukaryota; Metazoa; Chordata; Mammalia; Rodentia; Muridae
Description: long non-coding RNA chrX:98320175-98323212
Source: RNAcentral
AGUUGGCUUCUUUGUUCCAUAGAUUUUCUAUGCCACAGGCAAUAUUAUUGUUCUUGGAAAGUUCAUUAUUUUUUUAAAUUACCUUACUCUCAGAAAGGGAUUUUUUUGAAGGAUUCUGUCAUAUAUCUUUGGAAAACAGAAAAUCAGUAAUAUGUAUAUUUUUAUGUAUGUUCACUGGCACUAAAAAAAAAAAAAAAAAGAAAAGAAAAAAAAGAGAAAAAAAAAAGCUUCACUCUGUCCUUUGGGUAGUUGCUGAGGUUAAUUGUCCAGGUUGAGAAAUGUGCUUCUGCUAACAUCCUUCUCUGUCCACACUCUAUUUCUAAGUACAUAUAGGCAUAUAUAGGAAGAUAUAUUCAACACACUUUAAGAAAAAAGUAUGUCCACCAUCCACAUGAUAACCACAAUGAUACUCCACAAAUUACAUGACUUUAAGCUUCAAGCAACUUCUAACUGAUUCAUUCAUUUAUAGCCUUGCCCUCUUCUUUCCCUUAAAUUUGGCCCAGCACAAAGACCCAAGCCACCCUUAUACCUCCCUAAGACUUAAGCCAGCACCAGACUUCAGAAGGUUUUCUGAAGACAACUGACUUGCUAUCCCUGCAUGACCCUAGCAUGGUCCUGCAAACACAAGAGACUAAUUAUAAUUCUCCUCCACUAAUUGCCUGGGUCACAGGUCAUUGGGCCAAGGCCAUGAUUCUUAUGCUUACGAACCACUAAUGCUAACCUACUAGAUUAAAUCCUGAACUGAAAGUUAAAAGAAGCCAUUUAGCAUGUGAAACUUCUUGGAGUAAGAAGUUUCUGUCCCGGCUGCCUUUGCAAACAGGUUUGCUUUCACCACUUAUCUCCUUGAAAAUCUUUGAAGGCCUUUUUUUUUUAAGUAGAAAAGGAGAUGAAAGCAUUAUAUUAUGUAACCAAAGAUUAUAUUGUAUCUAAGAUACCAAAUUUUUUAAGGGCAGGGAAGGAGCAAGCAUUAGUGCCUCUUUGGUAAAUUAUCCAAAGACAGACUGAAGGACUUUUCUGAUGAUUGACUUAGAAGACUUUGUGGGGAGGGGUUGUCUCACAAUAUACAUAUUUAGAAGUGUUGAGAAUAAUUUGGGGGGAAAUGGGAUUAUAGUGUCCUUCACUAACUGAUUUUAUAAGCAGAACUAGCUUUCCUUUUUUUUUUUUUUAAAGUAGUUACAAAGCAAAUUCUUAAAGCUCCAUCUUUGCAUGGUUAGAAAUGGAGCUGGUCUUGGCCACUGUGUUUACUAGUGCCCAUGUUAGCUUAUUUGAAGAUGUGAAGCCCUUGAUAAGAAGGGGUACAUUUAAAGGAUUAGAUUUUUGCACUAGAAGGAGGGCAGGCAGAAACCCUCAUUUCUGCCCAGUUUGGACAGCACAAAAAGUUCUCUGCAGUUUAAGGCAGAAAGUUGAAAUAUAUUGUAAAUGAGUAUUUGUAUCCAUGUUUCAAAACUGAAUUCUAUAUAUAGAUGUAAUGUGUUCUGAUAGCUUUACCUUUCUCUGCACCUUUAUAUUUGGUUCCAGGUCAUAUCUGAUGCCAUGUACUUGUAAGAGAGGUUGCAGUUACAUUUUUGGAUGCUCUCUCAGAAUGGAUAAGACACCUGGAUUGAUCAGAUAACUGAGAUCUCUUCCCUUCUUGGGCCUGGUGUUGAGGCCUUGCAAAGGGGUGGAAGAGGAAAGGGUAGGGUACAUGAUGUAUUGCACUUUACUAGCUUAAGACGGAUGAAUGUGGAAAGGGUGGUGAAAUUUCAUUGAAAAUGCCUAGGAAUUGCAAUAGGGAGAAAUCCAGAUGUGGGGCCAGGUGCCCACCCAAAGGACUGGCCAGCAGCCUCUUCAUGGGAUCUGAGGCAUUGGGAAAAGGAAGGCUAUUUCCUUGGUUUUCACCAUCCUUGUUAGAGAAGGGCAGUUGCCUGGUCUUGGGAACCUGGAGCAAACGCUCCUUCUGUCACAUCAAUUCUUUCCCCUGCAAUUGAGGUGCUCUUGCUACUGGGUGUCCGUGUGCUCUAAUUCUGGUUCUGGAUAUGUUCUGUAAAGAUUUUGAUAAUUGCUAAUGUAUUUUUCUCUGUUAAAAAUUUGUUAGUGUGUUAGAAGUCAUAUCUCUGUAGGUACAGAUCCUUUGCUACCCAUGAGUAGAGGGAUUUUUUUUCUUCAAUUAAGAGUUUGACCCUGGGGUCUGUUGCCCAGAGCCCAUCCAGAAAAAAAAAUCCACAUUUGUCACAAUUUUUCUGAAAUUUCAGUCAAGGUAACAGAUCGCUGGGAGUUCUCUUUACCCCCCCAAAAAAGCAGAUAAUUGAAUUUAGCAGGUGGUGUUUUAGAGCAAAAAACAAAACAGCCUUUGACCCAGCUUUAAUAUGACCCAAUUUAAUCUGGCCAGGAAGCAGGUAAUGUGUAUUAAUUGGCUUCCAAUCCUGGUUGAGUGUAGCAAGGUUCUACUUUGUUUCCUAGUUCCUUUUGUUACAUGGCCUUUCACAGAAAGGAUUGACUGGGUUUGCAGUAUAUCUUAUGGCCUUAGCACCUAUUGCUAACUGUCCUGAAGGGAAUUGCCUAUGGGGUUGUCCUAUAAGCCACUUCUAUCAUUAAAAGCAGCCACCAAUGGAAUCUCCCAGGUUUGAAAAAAAAAAAAAAAAACAGAUGGUCCUUUACCAUUCAUUGACACACAUCCCUGCUUUCCUGUAGACAGAUUGACUGGACAUUGAUUAGGGAAUACAUGGCAAAUGACAUGCUUACACUACCCUGGAGAUUAAUUUGGCAGUAGGAGGGAAUAGACAAUGUAACCAAGAAUGUAAUGUAAUUCUUAUAGAGAUAAGAAUUAAAUCUGGAUGUGGAGAGAGCAAAGAGAGAAAGCAUUCAAUUUUUUUUUCAAAAGAAACCAAUUUAUUUUGCUUGAAACUUCUUUCGCUGGGGCUUCAGUUCUCACAGCGGCUCUUGGUCUCCACUGGGCAGCAGGACCAGCCCCAAGCGCUAGUGUUCUGUUCUCUUUUUGUAAUCUUGGAAUCUUUUGUUGCUCUAAAUACAAUUAAAAAUGGCAGAAACUUGUUUGUUG